Molecule: ribosomal RNA, 253 nt
Filed under: uncultured bacterium
Lineage: Bacteria
Description: partial 16S ribosomal RNA
Rfam family: Bacterial small subunit ribosomal RNA
Source: RNAcentral
UACAGAGGUCCCAAGCGUUGUUCGGAUUUACUGGGCGUAAAGGGUGCGUAGGUGGCGAGGUAAGUUCGAUGUGAAAUCUCCGAGCUCAACUCGGAAAUGGCAUUGAAUACUAUCCCGCUUGAGGGUCGGAGGGGAGACUGGAAUUCUCGGUGUAGCAGUGAAAUGCGUAGAUAUCGAGAGGAACACCAGUGGCGAAGGCGAGUCUCUGGACGACUCCUGACACUGAGGCACGAAAGCUAGGGGAGCAAACAGG